Dioscorea cayenensis subsp. rotundata (Guinea yam) is the source of this 446-nucleotide long non-coding RNA. RefSeq lists it as uncharacterized. Lineage: Eukaryota; Viridiplantae; Streptophyta; Magnoliopsida; Dioscoreales; Dioscoreaceae. The transcript has 3 exons. The record is from RefSeq and is a predicted model, not a curated record.
GUGGAUGUUGCUUUUAAUGAUGAUAGAAUUGUAAAUUUAGAGCAAAAGCUUGAAUCAUUGACUGAUGAUGUGAGUCAAGUCAAGAAUGCUAUAGGUGAUAUAAGUGACUUAAAAAAUCAAUUUCAAAUUAUUAUGAGUUUCAUGAUGGAGAAAUUUGGAUCAAAUAUUCCUACGCCAACAAGUAAAUGAUUUUAGAGGAAGACAUUGGGGCAAGAAGAGAGCAACAACAAAAAAAAAACUGAAGGAAGACAAUGGCCAAGAAGAGGAAACAAAGAAACUCAAGGUAAUUCAAUGCAUGUUCAUGAUGGCUUUUUACUUCACUUUGUUGGUGACAAUUGUAUUGAUGGAUUAGAGAAUUAUUGAUGAUGGAUUUUUGGUUGUCAUGGAAUGUUGGAUUGUUGUAUGGAUUAUUUGUAUUUUUGGUAUGAAUUGAAUGUUUUGGAUCA